GGAAGUAAAAGUCGUAACAAGGUUUCCGUAGGUGAACCUGCGGAAGGAUCAUUAAAAAUAUAGCAAACCAAGCGUUAGCGAGGUUUUGCGAUCAAAAUUGUAUUUAAAACCCAACUCUUUGAAUCAAAUAUAUAUAUUAUGUAUCAUAAAUAAAUAAAAGAUCACUUUCAACAACGGAUCUCUUGGCUCUCGCAUCGAUGAAGAACGUAGCGAAGUGCGAUAAGUAAUGUGAAUUGCAGAAUUCCGUGAAUCAUCGAAUCUUUGAACGCAAAUUGCACUUUCUGGUAUUCCGGAGAGUAUGCCUGUUUGAGGGUCAGUGUAAUAAAUAAUCGUGGUUGUUACCACCUUUCGUGGUGACGCUUCGGAAUUGAGUCGUCUUACCUUCGGUUAAGUGACUUAAAAUUUUUUCAUACGAUUUCGAACGUAUUUAAUGUAUUAUGUACGUUCACGAAUAUCGAAUGUUUAUUAGGUGCGGUCAUUUUCAUGAAUCGUGUCUAUAAUUUUUUUUUGACCUCAAAUCAGGUAAGAAUACCCGCCGAACUUAAGCAUAUCAAUAAGCGGAGGA
Molecule: ribosomal RNA, 565 nt
Filed under: uncultured Glomus
Lineage: Eukaryota; Fungi; Glomeromycota; Glomeromycetes; Glomerales; Glomeraceae
Description: eukaryotic LSU rRNA
Rfam family: 5.8S ribosomal RNA (bases 163-316)
Source: RNAcentral